AAAUAGAAAAUGACUGAAAACAAAUUCUCUAUUGUUCCAUAGAGCUUCAGGAAUAGAACCCUCAGAAAUACAGGCAGCUAGGAGUGUUCUAGUGAGAUUCACCGUUCCAUUAGCUAUUUCUGCAAGUUUCUUUUAGCUUCAAUUCCUGGAGUGAUCCAUGACCUGAAUGGGGCUGAAAUAUUUUAAGUGUGAUGUUUAAAAGGCUUGUCUCAAAGUGAUGGUCGACAUUUUCUACACACUAUUCCUGGUUUAAAGCUGAGGCUGGAAAACUAAGUUAUUACUGACUACUGUUGUUAGUUGCCGUUGAUCCUGCCUUCCCUUUUCCUUUCAUUUCAGGUAUUCGUCAAUCCCAUGGACACCAUCUCAAUGUAUUUUGAAGUUUAACUCUGAAAAAUGUGAACAAAUUGGUUGUUUCUUUAUAGGAGUCUCACUUCUUCUCUUUCAAUCUCAUGCUUAAUAUGCUUACUUAGUUUAGAGAUAUCUUGCUUAGGUCUCUCUACAGUUGAGUAGGAUGUCACCAUGUUUGUAAUUAAGUAUUUAUCAUCAAAUGUACCUGUAAAGCUAUUUACAUUAGUGCUAGAUUUUGUUGGAAAUAUGGAAUAUGUUAUAGCUUGAUUAUGUGAAUUUGUUAUUCUGAAUCGGUAGAUCUGUAUAAAAGGGACUCUCCAGG
This 670-nucleotide long non-coding RNA is filed under the name Nicotiana benthamiana. RNAcentral's name for it is "long non-coding RNA (NBEN_LNC011203)". The record is from RNAcentral. Lineage: Eukaryota; Viridiplantae; Streptophyta; Magnoliopsida; Solanales; Solanaceae.